AUUGAACGCUGGCGGCAGGCCUAACACAUGCAAGUCGAGCGGAUGCAGGGAGCUUGCUCCUGGAUUCAGCGGCGGACGGGUGAGUAAUGCCUAGGAAUCUGCCUGGUAGUGGGGGAUAACGUCCGGAAACGGGCGCUAAUACCGCAUACGUCCUGAGGGAGAAAGUGGGGGAUCUUAGGACCUCACGCUAUCAGCUGAGCCUAGGUCGGAUUAGCUAGUUGGUGGGGUAAAGGCCUACCAAGGCGACGAUCCGUAACUGGUCUGAGAGGAUGAUCAGUCACACUAGAACUGAGACACGGUCCAGACUCCUACGGGAGGCAGCAGUGGGGAAUAUUGGACUAUGGGCGAAAGCCUGAUCCAGCCCUGCCGCGUGUGUGAAGAAGGCCUUCGGAUUGUAAAGCACUUUAAGUUGGGAGGAAGGGCAGUAAGUUAAUACCUUGCUGUUUUGACGUUACCAACAGAAUAAGCACCGGCUAACUUCGUG
This 484-nucleotide ribosomal RNA is filed under the name uncultured bacterium. Its description in RNAcentral is "partial 16S ribosomal RNA". It matches the Rfam family "Bacterial small subunit ribosomal RNA", at positions 30 to 507 of the family's 1533-position model. The record is from RNAcentral.